GGGCAUAGUGGUGUGUGCCUGUAAUCCCAGCUACUCAGGUUGAGGCAGGAGGUUUACUUGAGCCCAGGAGUUCAAGGCUAGCCUAGGCAAUAUAGCAAGACUCUGUCUAUU
This 111-nucleotide small RNA is filed under the name Marmota monax (woodchuck). The record is from RNAcentral. Lineage: Eukaryota; Metazoa; Chordata; Mammalia; Rodentia; Sciuridae.